This 320-nucleotide ribosomal RNA is filed under the name uncultured Verrucomicrobiota bacterium. RNAcentral describes it as "bacterial SSU rRNA". It matches the Rfam family "Bacterial small subunit ribosomal RNA", at positions 29 to 351 of the family's 1533-position model. Lineage: Bacteria; Pseudomonadati; Verrucomicrobiota. The record is from RNAcentral.
AACGAACGCUGGCGGCGUGUUUAAGACAUGCAAGUCGCACGGGGCGGAGGUGGUAGCGAUAUUGCUUCCGUUCAGUGGCGCACGGGUGAGUAACACGUGAAUGACAUGCCCUUCAGUGGGGGAUAGCCCAGGGAAACUUGGAUUAAUACCCCAUGGUCUCGCGAGAGUAAAGGCGGCGCAAGCUGCCGCUGGAGGAUUGGUUCGCGUUCUAUCAGCUAGUUGGCGGGUAACGCCCACCAAGGCGACGACGGAUACCUGGUCUGAGAGGACGAUCAGGCACACUGGAACUGAGACACGGUCCAGACACCUACGGGUGGCAG